Sus scrofa (pig) is the source of this 4706-nucleotide long non-coding RNA. RefSeq lists it as uncharacterized. Lineage: Eukaryota; Metazoa; Chordata; Mammalia; Artiodactyla; Suidae. The record is from RefSeq and is a predicted model, not a curated record.
CCCACAGCUGAAGGUCACUCGACUCUGCCGACAAGCUUCUCUGCGCGUCUUGAGGCCCUGUUUUCACACGCGCAGCCCAUCGCGUUCGGUACUCAGCACAUUUCAGAUGCGCGACAGCCCCACGUGGCCAGCGGGCAGCGCAGGGUCACCCCCACGUCCUCAUGGAUACUCGUCAGGUUUGUUACCACUGAGCCACAACAGGAAUGCUGGUUUAAGGAUUUUUUUAAAAAACCUAUUGCUUUGUGCUUCUGAAAAGUUAAGGGACAACACAUCUCGGAGCUCAAUUUCCAGAACUGCCGAGGAAGGCGCCCCUUUACCGAGACACCCCCAGGCGUAAACAGGAACAUCUUAUUUUUACGAGCCGUCCCAGCUACACAGGCCAACGGCACCCGUCACGGGCGCGGCCCCUUCGGAGCUUUCAUUUCAUCUCAAAUGUUCCUUUGCCUGCAUUUAACUCACACCCGAUACAUUUACAGAGAAGCCUUGUAGGAGCAACAUUCUCCAUAUUUUAAGCCAAAGGGAUUUUGCUGUCCGUUUUUAACAAGCACUCGAACUCCAAACGGAAGCAAACAAGGAGCAUCUGUGAAAGCGUCGUACAACAGAACAGAAACGCGCCCGAGCCAGACAACCUGCGUGAGCGAAGGCGCGGCCCGCGGUCCCUGCCAGCCCGCCGGGCCUCGAGGACGGCGAGCGGGGGGCCGAGUGCGUCUCGCGGGGCUCCUUCCCCUUUCGGCCGUCGCCUGCGGGCGGGGGUACAAGCAGUUAAUGCGGCAGAUACACACGCGGGCCUCGUGGGUCUGAACCGCGCUUGGCAGUGGCAGUGCCAGUGCCAAAGACAUCAGGAGACUCACACAGGCAAGAACAAAAACCCAAGCGGUGCCCCCGGGGCCAUAGGCGGCUCGGCCCGAGCAGGUCACGAGGGACCUUGCAGGACAGCCUGGGGGAAGCACCUGCGAGACCAGGAAAGCCACGUACUUACACAGAGACUCCCCGUUGACCCGGAGGCGGCCGUCGUCUCCGAGGGCCUCUCGCACGUCCAUCCUCCCGCCGUGGCCGCAGUGAGCUGCAACACAGGCGAGAGAGCUGGAGCCCCGCGCCGCCAGGGCAGGGCAGGGUUGGCAGGCGGGCAGCAAGGUGACAGCUCUGCCAGGAGGAGCCUGAAGGGCCACCCGCCUCGGACACGCCCGGCCAACAGAGGUCGGGACGGGCCUGCCCAACAAUUUUGCGAAACCUCACUCUUCUAAAUGCCGUUGAAGUCAGCUUUGCUUUAAAGAGGCGCUAAUCAUCAAAGGAUGUGGACGUUAACUUUUCAUUUGGAAAGUGACUUUAAAAUGCUUAAACACGGACCAACUUGCAGAAGCCCCCCAGCACUGCGUCCGGAGCACAGAGAGGUCCCCAAAAGCACCGCCAGAGAGGCCGCGUGAGAUGCGAGAGGAGAGUGCGAGCCAAGCCGCAGGUAGACGCGGCUUCCACCUGGAAAGCGCUACGGUGGAAAAGCAGGACAGAGAAUCGUUUAAAUACCUUGCGAUUCAUGGAUUUGUGACUCACGAGCUUUUGACUCACAACUUUUCAAUUUGGCAUUUUCUGAUUCACAACUGCACUUCGCGAAAGCCCCUUGGAAGAGGUGAACUAAGAACGAAGAAAAGGACGAGGUGCGCUCGGCCAGCCGCCAGAUCCUAUCCGCGAAGCGAGAGGCGCCGCCUGGUGGGAAACCGGCCGUUACUCCCUCCCCAGGGCCGGCGCCCGCGCCCAAGCCGUCGCACCCAAGGCCCAGGUACAGGGGAGACUCCCGCUCAGGACGCGCCACGGUGGCAAGUGGCACAGAGGGACACGCGCGCGUCCUACAGGGGCCAGGCCGACAGCGCCCGGUCUCCCAACGCUGGGGACGCUCACAGCACAACGCUCAGGAACGGCCUGCCGGACCCCGCCACCUGCCACCGGCCCAGCAGGCCGACCCCACAGCAGCCGGGGCAGCCCCGUCGGGAAAGGCAGCGGCCUCCAGGACGCCGGGCCCUCCAGGACGGCUGCCACGGCCCUUGGCCCAGCCCGCUGGGGGCCACUAAGCCGCCUGGCUCCUCCCUCUGGGCCGGGGACAUGAGAGUAGUGUGACCUGUGGUCCCCCAAACUGUGCAGGUGGCAGUCUACAAGCCACGGCGGCUAAAAACGUCUACCUUUGAAGAAGUUUCCUCGUGAGUGACAGCUGAAAAAUAGGCUUAUUUUUACACAGCUGCCUCCAAGAGGCCUGCCCGCCACCCUGGACUGCCCCUGGCAGUGCCAAGUCGCAGCCCGGGGAACUCAGAGCCCAUGGCAUGAGGCCAGCGUGGACUGGAGAAGUCCGAGUUGGAAUGGUUUAAGGAAAAUAAACCAAGAGCGUCCCCCCAGAAGAGCCCAAGUAGCCACAGGCUAUUGGUCCCGAGUGCCAGUCAUGGCUCAGCAGGUUAAGAACCCCACUAGGAUCCAUGAAGGUGUAGGUUAGAUCCCUGGCCUCGUUCAGCGGGUUAAGGAUCCAGCGUGGCUGUGGCUGUGGCGCAGGACGGCAGCUGCAGCUGUGACUCGACCCCUAGCCUGGGGACCUCCAUAUGCUGCAGGGGCGGACCUAAAAGAAAAAAAAAGAUGUAGGCUGUUUGUGAACCGCAGCCUGGUACAAAAACAAACAACAAUGACCAAAAACACCCUCACAAACCUGGGGCUAAAAGCCCCUGAGCGUCAGCGCCAAGUCUGUGUCCAUCGCACUCUUGUUUACGCUGCAGAUGAAACUACACACAGAGGUUGGUAAAAACGGGAAAAAUUCACCAACCAGAUGGAUGGUCUCACGUCACCUCUGGUCACAUGACCCGACAUUCGGAAGCACCAAAAUUCUAUUUUCCUUCAUCUAAGUGGCAACAUUUUAAAAGAACAAAGGCCAAGGAUCAGCAUGCCCACAAGGAGCAGGGACCCUCGUUCUGCCUGCCGUGGCGGGAGGGUGGUGACCCAGGGCAGUCACGGAGGUCGGCUGCAAGGAUCUACUGCAACCGGAGCUGUAGGAGUUCCCUGGUGGCCUAGCCGAUAAGGACUCGGCGUUGUCCCUGCUGUGGCUCAGGGGUUCCAUCCCUGGCCCAGGUGUUUCCAUAUGCUGCGAGCACAGCAAGAAAAAAAAAAAAAAAAAGUCCAUGACAUUUUUUCAGCAGUGACACGGUUUUUUAUUUUUUGUCUUUUUAGGGUCGCACCCACAGCAUAUGGAGGUUCCCAGGCUAGGGGUCCAACCGGAGCUACAGCUACUGGCCUACACCACAGCCACAACAACGCCAGAUCCGAGCAGUGUCUGCGACCUACACCACAGCUCACGGCAACGUCGGAUCCUUAACCUACUGAGCGAGGCCAGUGAUCGAACCCGCAACCUCACGGUUCCUAGUUGGAUUCGUUUCCACUGCACCACAAUGGGAACUCCUGGAACAGUUUUUAAAAUACACUGCAACUGCUCCGCUCAGAGGCCGAGCCACUGCCACAUCUGGCUGUUGACCCCAGCUCCUGCUGCUCCUAUGACCACCUGGCCACGCCGGCCGGCUUGCCACCCCAACCCCGACGUCGGCCUGUCCAUCUCCCAGAAGGCAGCAGACACACGAGUCCUUACUCCUCUGAAGACUGAGGCUGGUUCAGGAAGCAAACUUCCGCCCAAAGCCACCAGGACAACUGACACAUGGUUCAAAGCAAUGGCCUGUCCUUUCUAAGGACGUCCACACCUAUCAGGGACACCGGCACUGCCGCAGGUGACAGAGAGCAAAGAAGGGCGUUGCUCCCUGGGGCCUGCUGCGCGUCAGCACAGGGCUACUCGGCCCCGUCGCCGGGCCCUGGUAGAGCCGUGUCUCCGAGCCCGCAGGCUUCUCCCGGGAGACGCCCACCCUCCCGGGGGAGGGAAGCUACCACCUGCAGGCCGCGCAGCCGCAGCCGCCCUGUGGAGAACGGUGCCUCCCAAGGACAACGUGAGGAAGAGUCACAAAACCCGUUUCUGGUUUUUUGGUUGUUUUGCUUUUCAGAACCGCAUUCUCGGCAUAUGGAGGUUCCCAGGCUGGGGGUCAGACUGGAGUUGCAGCUGCUGGCCUACACCACAGCCACAGCAACGUGGGAUCCCUAACCCACUGAGUGAGGCCCGGGAUCAAUCCCGCACCCUCCUGGACCCUGGUCGUAUUUGUUUCCGCUGUGCCGAGAUGAGACCGCCUUAUGAAGCCUUUCUGAUGGGGCCCAGAAAAUCACAUUUUGUCAAGAAUGCACUCAACCCCAAUCUCAAGAAACCACAGGGCUCAGGCUGCUUCUGGUUGGCCUGCCCAGAGAUCUGUGUACAGACACAAGCACGGACAAAAGAGGAAACACACCCAAAAAAGCACUGAUCCUGGGAGUUCCCGUGAUGGCUCACUGGUUACCGAAUCCGACUGGGAACCAUGAGGUGGCGGGUUCGAUCCCUGGCCUUGCUCAGUGGGUUAAGGAUCCGGCGUUGCCGUGAGCUGUGGUGUAGGUUGCGGACGCGGCUCGGAUCCCGCGUUGCUGUGGCUGUGGUGCAGGCCAGGGGCUACAGCUCCGACUGGACCCCUGGCCUGGGAACCUCCAUAUGUCGUGGGAUCAGCCCUAGAAAAGGCUAAAAAGACAAAAAAUAAAUAAAUAAAAAAAAGGGAAGAGCAGUCGAGACCCUGUUUUGUGUAAAAAGACAAAAAAAAAAAAAAAAAAAAAAAAAA